This 225-nucleotide ribosomal RNA is filed under the name uncultured Alkalibacter sp. RNAcentral's name for it is "partial 16S ribosomal RNA". It matches the Rfam family "Bacterial small subunit ribosomal RNA", at positions 568 to 792 of the family's 1533-position model. The record is from RNAcentral. Lineage: Bacteria; Bacillati; Bacillota; Clostridia; Eubacteriales; Eubacteriaceae.
CGCGUAGGCGGAUGGUUAAGUCCGGUGUGAAAGUUCGGGGCUUAACCCCGGAAUUGCAUUUGAAACUGUAAUACUUGAGUACUGGAGAGGUAAGUGGAAUUCCUAGUGUAGCGGUGAAAUGCGUAGAUAUUAGGAGGAACACCAGUGGCGAAGGCGACUUACUGGACAGAUACUGACGCUGAGGCGCGAAAGCGUGGGGAGCAAACAGGAUUAGAUACCCCCGUA